This 497-nucleotide ribosomal RNA is filed under the name uncultured bacterium. Its description in RNAcentral is "partial 16S ribosomal RNA". It matches the Rfam family "Bacterial small subunit ribosomal RNA", at positions 28 to 507 of the family's 1533-position model. The record is from RNAcentral.
GAUGAACGCUGGCGGCGUGCCUAAUACAUGCAAGUCGAGCGAACAGACGAGGAGCUUGCUCCUCUGACGUUAGCGGCGGACGGGUGAGUAACACGUGGAUCACCUACCUAUAAGACUGGGAUCACUUCGGGACACCGGAGCUAAUCCCGGAUAAUAUAUUGAACCGCAUGGUUCAAUGGUGAAAGACGGUUUUGCUGUCACUUAUAGCUGGAUCCGCGCCGCAUUAGCUAGUUGGUAAGGUAACGGCCUACCAAGGCAACGAUGCGUAGCCGACCUGUGAGGGUGAUCGGCCACACGGGAACGUGGACACGGACCAGAGUCCUACGGUAGGCAGCAGUAUGGAAUCUGCCGCAAUGGUCGAAAGUUUGACGGAGCAACGCCGCGUGAGAGAUGACGGUCUUCGGAGCGUAAAGCUCUGUUAUGAGGGAAGAACAAAUGUGGAAGGAACUAUGCACUUCUUGACGGUACCGAAUCAGAAAGCCACGGCUAACUACGUG